GGGGGGAGGCAGGAUCUUGGGCUGUGUCCCCGGCGCCCUGUGCUCCCGUGUCUGCGUGUUGGAUUCCCGCUCCUGGCCGCGCAGCCCCCU
RNAcentral lists this microRNA precursor (90 nucleotides) under Canis lupus familiaris (dog). RNAcentral's name for it is "mir-8799 microRNA precursor family". It matches the Rfam family "mir-8799 microRNA precursor family". The record is from Rfam by way of RNAcentral. RNAcentral also lists the same sequence under 1 other name. Lineage: Eukaryota; Metazoa; Chordata; Mammalia; Carnivora; Canidae.